Molecule: ribosomal RNA, 253 nt
Filed under: uncultured bacterium
Lineage: Bacteria
Description: partial 16S ribosomal RNA
Rfam family: Bacterial small subunit ribosomal RNA
Source: RNAcentral
UACAGAGGGGGCAAGCGUUGUUCGGAAUUACUGGGCGUAAUGGGCGCGUAGGCGGCCUACUAAGUCGAACGUGAAAUCCCUGGGCUCAACCCAGGAACUGCGUCCGAUACUGGGAGGCUUGAAUCCGGGAGAGGGAUGCGGAAUUCCAGGUGUAGCGGUGAAAUGCGUAGAUAUCUGGAGGAACACCGGUGGCGAAGGCGGCAUCCUGGACCGGCAUUGACGCUGAGGCGCGAAAGCCAGGGGAGCAAACGGG